This 1755-nucleotide long non-coding RNA is filed under the name Homo sapiens (human). Its description in RNAcentral is "HSALNT0020190". Lineage: Eukaryota; Metazoa; Chordata; Mammalia; Primates; Hominidae. The record is from RNAcentral.
CAAAAAAGCAAGACACGAACACUGUCUCAACCUGGAGACGAUCCUGCCUUUGGGAGAAUGACUUGAAGUAAAUCACUCUUAAUCCCUAGACGGAAAGGAGGGAGCGGGAGAAUUUCUGCCAUCCCACGGGACGCAGCGCAGAGGAGGCGGCUCCCCCAGCUUAUUAACCACAGACCAGGUGUGCACGCCCAAGCUCACCGGCAGAGGGCGCCAGGCCUCCGCUUGGUGCUCGAGCCUCGAGGCCCAGAAAAGAUGAAAACAUCGAGGCUUAGAGGGGUUUCUGAGUAGCUGAGAAGUCAGGACUUCACACUCCCGAUCUUUCCCCUGGCCUCCAGUUUGCCUGGCAAAGUCACAGGAAGUAUCUCCAUGGCACCGCAUCAGCCCUCACAGAGCAGGAAACCUUGAUUUCUACAGAGGCUGUUUCCUCCCAGCCUUGUGCAAGGCCCACUGCAGAGACAAAAUUAUGGUGGCCAAAGUGUGAAUGCCAAGGCCACACUGGCCUCCAUCCCUGGGAUUUGCUGGUAGAAGAAAGGGAAUCAGCGCUGACUGAGCUCCUACUAUGUGCCCUUCCUGGGCCUGGCACUGGAAUCACAGGAUGAAUGAAUAAGGCAUAUUUCCUGCCCUGAGGAGGCGUCUAUAGGGGAAGUCGGAAUUAAGGCACCUCCAGAAUUCUGAGGUCAAGGGAAUGUCAACAGAGCUGUGAACAAAAUGCCCAAAGCCAUGAAAAUCUACAGAGAGAGACUCGAAGGGGAGGAAUGGGGUAGGAGCUGGUGCCGAGGAUGAGAGGGGAGAAUUCACCUGGUGGAGAACUGAUAGGCCAGGCUGAGGUCGGGAUGGUGGAGGAGGUGGUGGAGGUGAUGAGGUACCAGAGCAACCUCGAAGAAAGCUGAGAGGCAGGAGACCGCCAAAGGCAAACUUGGAACACCUGGUGACUCCGACUAACUCUCCAUGUGGUGUCCUUGAGGACUUUUAUGAUACUGCUACCACUGCUAAUAGUAAUAAAAGCCACUAUUUAAUGUGUUUACUAUGCGCUGGGUGUGCAAAUAUUGUGGAAAGAGUGAACAUAUGUGCAGAAUGCUUAAUAAACGUGAUCUCCUUUUAUCUUCAAAAGAACAAUACAGGCCAGGUGCGGUGGCUCAUGCCUAUAAUUCCAGCACUUUGGGAGGCCGAGGCAGAUGGAUUGCUUGAGCUCAAGAAGUUUCAGACCAGCCUGGGCAACAUGGCAAAACCCCAUCUCUACAAAAAAAUACCCAAAAAAUUAGCCAGGUGUGAUGUUGCCUGCCUGUGGUCCCAGCUACUCCAGAGGUUGAGGUGGGAGAAUCGCGUGAGCCCAGAAGGUCAAGGCUGCAGUGAGCUGUGAUCCUGCCACUGCACUCCAGCCUGGGGUGACAGAGUGAGACCCUGCCUAAAAAAAAAAGAAUCAAUACGAUUAAUACUUUUACUUCUAUUUUUCAGACAAGGAAAUUGAGGCUCAGAGAGGUUAGGAACUUGCCAGAAGACCUACCAGCAAGUGGCAGAGCUAAGGUCCCAUCUGACCCCAAAGCCCACCCAUAACCGCUAUGCAGUACUGUCCAGGCAGAAACACAAACAUUACCCCAUUGUUUUUAUUCUUCAACACCUUUGGUAUCAUCCAGUCCCAGGACACUGGCUCCUGAGGAAGGAAGGCCCCUCCCACAUCCUUUAAAAUUCCCAGGCAUAAAACCAUGUUCACCAGCCACCGUGAGGGUAAGCCUCAGAGACAGGGACCGUGCCCAC